Long non-coding RNA from Zophobas morio, 2644 nucleotides. RefSeq lists it as uncharacterized. The transcript has 5 exons. Lineage: Eukaryota; Metazoa; Arthropoda; Insecta; Coleoptera; Tenebrionidae. The record is from RefSeq and is a predicted model, not a curated record.
UUGUCACUGAUUUGAAAUUUCCAGAUGCAUGGAAAAUUAGUUAUAUUGUCCCUAUACCUAAUCAAGUUGAUAAUUAUCGUGGGGUGUGUAAUCAAAUGACGUUACCGAGUUAGUCUCGUCCUUGAUUCGAAGCAUCUGGCAACACUGGCUGAGCCAUCCACUGAUAAACCAAAGUGCAGGAAUCGGAAGUCAGUAUUUGCCUAGUUUUGUAGUCGAAGUCGAAGUGAGAACGCGGUAUGGUCAGGAAGUGUGAAUUCCUGGUUAUUAAAUUCAGUGCCAAUUCUUGGCCCCUCUAUGAACAUUUCCCCUUCAGCGGUGUUUGCACCUUUAUAAAUGGAAGAAAUAGAGAGAUUUAACAAAAGAUCCGGAACGACCGAUAAGGGUAAAGAAUACGAGGAUGUGGUUCUCGCCAUUGUUGUACUAAAUUUAGUAAAUGACGACACAUUAAAAAAAUUCCAUAUAUCAGCAAGCGACGAGGACUUCGGCGCAUUCGACGAUAUAGUUAUGAAACUUGAAUUGAAUGCCCCAAAAACUAAAGUUCGAACACGCCGAGACGAAAAUACCGUCCACAAGAAAUUUUGGUUCAAAAAUGGAGAUUUCAACCUUAACAAAUAUCUCCUGAAUUUUCGACAAAUAAAGGAAGACGCUGAUGAAUAUGUCCUAUUUACAAAUCGACCAUUUAAGUGUAAGGACAAUUUCUAGUUAAAUAAAAAGUGGACCAAGUGGGUGCAACUUUUGGGUCAUGAAAAGAUGAAAAUCUUUCGAAAAGCUUUUUCUCUGUUCGAGAUCGCUCUAUUUGAAAGAAAAUCGUGCGAAAUGAUUAAAGCUCUAUGGGGUGAGGAAGAGGCAACAUUAGACAUGAUAAUGAUAAUAAUAAUAUAAGCAACAUAGAUCCAAAGGCAUUUAUGCAACAGCUAUGGAUAAUGGAUAGAUGCCCAUUAAUAAUACCUGAAUGUGAAAACGUGGAAAAGGCCAUCCAGCUUUGUCGCGACAAAAGUUCAUUUUAGUUGGGGAAGGUAAAAAUGAGGAAAUCUAAGGAAAGAACGAUUGAUCUUGUGACAGCUCUGAAUCUUAUAUUGAACGGUACCUUUCGCGAAAUGUAAAUAUCACAUAUUAGAAGAAGCUUACGAAAACACAAUUGUUGUAAAUAGUGCUGACAACUUUGAUAAAAUAAAAGACACACUCGACAAAUGUAAAUUAAUUGACAUUGACAACUUUUUGCAGAAAAAAUCAAACCUUAAUGCUAAUUAUGUAGGUAACAAAAAAAAUCUGUUCAUGAAAAAAAAACAAUUUCAUUAUUUUCACCUUUUGAGUGGUGGAAAUUUAGAGUGGAUCAAUAGUAGAGGUGAUGUUAGUGAUCUAGAAGGUUAUCAAUUAACUAAUAAAUAUUCUAGGGACGAAAACUCACUGUAGACAAUAACAUCGAUCUAAUAACAGGCGGUCCGGGAAUCGGUAAGUCUGAGUUAAUGAAGAAUUUCAAAAAUAAAUGUCCACCGAAAUAUUGGACACCAAAUAACGCAGACUUGCCGGUCGUUCAUAAAACUAGAUCGAUUGUGUUUCGAAAUGUGUUUAAAAAAAACACCGUUGUUUGCGUGUUGGACGCACUUGACGAAAUGUUAAAAGAAAAUUUAGACGUCGUUUUGAGUAUGAUUCUCCAUUUCUCAGCAAAAGGUUUCUUUUAGUGGGUUACUUGUAAACGAUAACUGAAAACUCGUGUUCAGUUUGCUUUCAUUAAACAUAAAUGAACUAAACGAACACGAACAAAAAGAUUACAUUAGAAAAUGUUUACAUACCUAUAAUUCGGACAAAAUUGACUGUAGAACAUGGAGACAUACUGCGACGUCUGGGUCAAAUAUUCAGGUUUCGUCAAAAUAACUAAAAAAUAUGCUUAUUUUAUUGAAGAAAAAUUUAAUCGUUUUUACAGAGACAAAAUCGGAUUUGAUUUUGAAAAUCUGUAAGUCUACUAUAUGGUCCGUUGAAAAACCAAAAAGUUUUAUAUAAGAACGAAAACAUCUCUAAAUCGCAGUGUUAAAACUGUAAUAAGUAGUGUUUGCUUAAGUAAAGUCAGAUGAGAAUGAAUCCGAAAUUUUCUACAUCACUACAUCACAUUUACUCUGUAUUCGGCUUUUUAACUUGUAAUUUAAUAUAAAAAACAGAACUGUGCUAUUAAAUAAAAGCUAUUAUUAAUAAUGCAUGGUAUCGUUCAGUAUUAUCUAAAGAUUUGCUGAAUCAAUUUAUAACAAAACUAAGAAAAAGAAAAAAAUCUACAUAGGUAAAAGUAACAGCGAUUUAUUUUUGAAACACUUGGUAUGGAUUAGGCAUUACCUCGAUACAUUAUCUACCAAAAGAAUUGAAUGGUUUGCGAACUGAUGUCACUCAUGGGAAUAUCUAGACAACAAAUUUAUGUUUAUUCCCUAAAGAUUAACAGCGAGUUUAUCUUCGUGAAGCAUGAAGUUUAGGAUUUUUGUAGAAAUUGUCACAGGAAUCGAAGGAAAACCAAGGAACAAAGUGCUGCCUCAGACCAUUCCAGUACCAAAUGAAAUAUGUUGUUAGGAGGGUUCCUUGAACAUGUAAAAUACAUAAAUUUUUUUUAACUUGUGACUUAUUCAUACUUAUUAAAAAAUUAAAAAUGUUAAAACUGUAA